This 739-nucleotide long non-coding RNA is filed under the name Prunus dulcis (almond). RNAcentral's name for it is "sRNA ncRNA". Lineage: Eukaryota; Viridiplantae; Streptophyta; Magnoliopsida; Rosales; Rosaceae. The record is from RNAcentral.
AUAAUUUAUAUUUAUUAAAUACUUUUUAAAAAAUUAACAUAAAAUUGAAAGAAGAAAAAAACUAGCCCAGAUCCAAUCUCCCUCAUCCUCCCAGCACUUCAGCCUCGCCCUGCAAACACCACCACUACCCUUUCAAUUUCAUCACUCAGCUCAUUUCCUCCCCAAAAGUACCUACACCAAAUCCCCACAUCUCCUCAGGUGUGGGUUCAUUAAAUAGCCCAAUGAGUGACAUACUCAUGUUGCUGAUUUUGCUGGGCUAGGAACAAAAGCAAGAGCAAGAAGAGUUUGUUCAAACCCAGCAUGAAAAAUUGAUCCUUGGAGCCAAUCAAAAGCAAGACUCGAGGUAUGAAUGAGUACUUCUUUGAUAUUCAACAACACUAGUCUCAAUUGAACGAAUUGACCAGUCUCGCAAGAAAUGGACUCGCAAAUUGGAAUUUGAGGCGGCUGCGGUGACUGUCGAGUCUGUAAAUUCAUGUGCGGGUUCAGAGCCAGGUUCGGCUGCUCCUGCGGCAAGUCCUCAGCAUAGGCUAUGGGUUGAUUUUUUGUGUUUCAUCACUCCGCUCCUUGCACCACUAUCCGUUAGAUGGUCUAUGGUUGUGGGGGAUGGAUGGGUUAAGGAAGGUCGAACAUGCGGUAGGGAUGAGGCUUAGAUCGAGAAGGUUGUGUAGAGGGUGUGUGUGAGAGAGAGAGAGAGAGAGAGGGGGCGGGGAUGAGGGGCUGGGAGGGUGGGGAAGGCGAU